GAAGGUCAGGCUGAAGACCUUACCCGAUUAGCUGAGAGGUGGUGCAUGGCCGUCGUCAGUUCGUACUGUGAAGCAUCCUGUUAAGUCAGGCAACGAGCGAGACCCACGUCCACAGUUGCCAGCAUACCCUCCGGGGUGAUGGGUACACUGUGGAGACGCCGCUGCUAAAGCGGAGGAAGGAGUGGGCAACGGUAGGUCAGUAUGCCCCGAAUCUCCCGGGCUACACGCGGGCUACAAUGGUUGGUACAAUGGGUAUCUACCCCGAAAGGGGAAGGAAAUCUCUUAAAGCCAAUCGUAGUUCGGAUUGAGGGCUGCAACUCGCCCUCAUGAAGCUGGAAUCCGUAGUAAUCGCGUUUCAACAGAACGCGGUGAAUACGUCCCUGCUCCUU
Molecule: ribosomal RNA, 389 nt
Filed under: uncultured Methanosaeta sp.
Lineage: Archaea; Methanobacteriati; Methanobacteriota; Methanomicrobia; Methanotrichales; Methanotrichaceae
Description: bacterial SSU rRNA
Rfam family: Archaeal small subunit ribosomal RNA
Source: RNAcentral